Molecule: ribosomal RNA, 253 nt
Filed under: uncultured bacterium
Lineage: Bacteria
Description: partial 16S ribosomal RNA
Rfam family: Bacterial small subunit ribosomal RNA
Source: RNAcentral
UACGGAGGGAGCUAGCGUUGUUCGGAAUUACUGGGCGUAAAGCGCACGUAGGCGGCUAUUCAAGUCAGAGGUGAAAGCCCGGGGCUCAACCCCGGAACGGCCUUUGAAACUAGAUAGCUAGAAUCUUGGAGAGGCGAGUGGAAUUCCGAGUGUAGAGGUGAAAUUCGUAGAUAUUCGGAAGAACACCAGUGGCGAAGGCGACUCGCUGGACAAGUAUUGACGCUGAGGUGCGAAAGCGUGGGGAGCAAACAGG